RNAcentral lists this transfer RNA (101 nucleotides) under Candidatus Woesearchaeota archaeon. Its description in RNAcentral is "tRNA-Gly". It matches the Rfam family "tRNA". Rfam says of the family: Transfer RNA (tRNA) molecules are approximately 80 nucleotides in length. Their secondary structure includes four short double-helical elements and three loops (D, anti-codon, and T loops). Further hydrogen bonds mediate the characteristic L-shaped molecular structure. tRNAs have two regions of fundamental functional importance: the anti-codon, which is responsible for specific mRNA codon recognition, and the 3' end, to which the tRNAs corresponding amino acid is attached (by aminoacyl-tRNA synthetases). tRNAs cope with the degeneracy of the genetic code in two manners: having more than one tRNA (with a specific anti-codon) for a particular amino acid; and 'wobble' base-pairing, i.e. permitting non-standard base-pairing at the 3rd anti-codon position. Lineage: Archaea; Nanobdellati; Candidatus Woesearchaeota. The record is from RNAcentral.
ACGGCAGUGGUCCAGUGGCAAGACAGGGGCUUCCCAAGCCUCUAACCCGGGAAAAUGCGGUUUUUUACUGCAAUUCGGGAAUUCGAGUCCCGGCUGCCGUA